This 245-nucleotide ribosomal RNA is filed under the name uncultured bacterium. Its description in RNAcentral is "partial 16S ribosomal RNA". It matches the Rfam family "Bacterial small subunit ribosomal RNA", at positions 528 to 772 of the family's 1533-position model. The record is from RNAcentral.
UAGGGGGCGAGCGUUGUCCGGAAUCACUGGGCGUAAAGGGCGCGUAGGCGGUUUAAUAAGUCAGUGGUGAAAACUGAGGGCUCAACCCUCAGCCUGCCACUGAUACUGUUAGACUUGAGUAUGGAAGAGGAGAAUGGAAUUCCUAGUGUAGCGGUGAAAUGCGUAGAUAUUAGGAGGAACACCAGUGGCGAAGGCGAUUCUCUGGGCCAAGACUGACGCUGAGGCGCGAAAGCGUGGGGAGCAAA